RNAcentral lists this ribosomal RNA (468 nucleotides) under uncultured bacterium. RNAcentral describes it as "partial 16S ribosomal RNA". It matches the Rfam family "Bacterial small subunit ribosomal RNA", at positions 28 to 507 of the family's 1533-position model. The record is from RNAcentral.
GACGAACGCUGGCGGCGUGCUUAACACAUGCAAGUCGAACGGAAAGGCCCUGCUUUUGUGGGGUGCUCGAGUGGCGAACGGGUGAGUAACACGUGAGUAACCUGCCCUUGACUUUGGGAUAACUUCAGGAAACUGGGGCUAAUAACGGAUAGGAGCUCCUGCUGCAUGGUGGGGGUUGGAAAGUUUCGGCGGUUGGUGAUGGACUCGCGGCUUAUCAGCUUGUUGGUGGGGUAGUGGCUUACCAAGGCUUUGACGGGUAGCCGGCCUGAGAGGGUGACCGGCCACAUUGGGACUGAGAUACGGCCCAGACUCCUACGGGAGGCAGCAGUGGGGAAUAUUGCACAAUGGGCGGAAGCCUUAUGCAGCAACGCCGCGUGCGGGAUGACGGCCUUCGGGUUGUAAACCGCUUUCGCCUGUGACGAAGCGUGAGUGACGGUAAUGGGUAAAGAAGCACCGGCUAACUACGUG